This 482-nucleotide ribosomal RNA is filed under the name uncultured bacterium. RNAcentral's name for it is "bacterial SSU rRNA". It matches the Rfam family "Bacterial small subunit ribosomal RNA", at positions 1 to 461 of the family's 1533-position model. The record is from RNAcentral.
CCCUUAGAGUUUGAUCCUGGCUCAGGACGAACGCUGGCGGCGUGCCUAAUACAUGCAAGUCGAACGAAACUUUCUUACACCGAAUGCUUGCAUUCACCGUAAGAAGUUGAGUGGCGGACGGGUGAGUAACACGUGGGUAACCUGCCUAAAAGAAGGGGAUAACACUUGGAAACAGGUGCUAAUACCGUAUAUCUGUAAGGUUCGCAUGAUUCUUAGAUGAAAGAUGGUUCUGCUAUCGCUUUUAGAUGGACCCGCGGCGUAUUAACUAGUUGGUGGGGUAACGGCCUACCAAGGUGAUGAUACGUAGCCGAACUGAGAGGUUGAUCGGCCACAUUGGGACUGAGACACGGCCCAAACUCCUACGGGAGGCAGCAGUAGGGAAUCUUCCACAAUGGACGCAAGUCUGAUGGAGCAACGCCGCGUGAGUGAAGAAGGUCUUCGGAUCGUAAAACUCUGUUGUUAGAGAAGAACACGAGUGAGAG